Molecule: long non-coding RNA, 983 nt
Organism: Capra hircus (goat)
Lineage: Eukaryota; Metazoa; Chordata; Mammalia; Artiodactyla; Bovidae
Exons: 3
Source: RefSeq, a predicted model, not a curated record
CACACACCAGCCAUUCACUCCAAGAAGGAACUGGGAUAUGAUCUUUCUCAAGCCGGGAGAGUUGGCAGGUCGGAGAGGGACUUUCCAGACAAAUCCCGUUUGGGGAAACCUCUGCUAUUUAAGAAUUGAAAAAACCCAAAGGCUUUUAAAAAGGUCUCGGUCUUCCCUCCCUCCUUUCAGAAAGUAGGGCUGGUUGAUUUAAACCUGUCAGACUCUUAUCUGGAAAAAGUUAGGAAGGGAGAUUUUUCGUUCUAUCUGCAAAGGGACAGCGGACUCCAGUGGAACCUAGAUUUACCCCGGAAGCAGGAUAUUAGCCAUAGUGAUAGUAACUAUCAAUCGGCAAAAGCGUCACGUACAAUGAUCAGACUGAUGCAAACACAGAAGGGUGGAUGGUUCUCUUCCAGGAAAACGACUGGCUCCUCCCGUAAUUUGGGAGAAACCAAACUGGCCUCCUCACCACCUCUACCAGACCUCCCCCCGCCCCACUUCGGGUUCUUCCCAGCGGCCAGACUCUGCCGGGCGCCGGGAAGCGCGCUGGGCAUCACUCGACCGCCCCGGCCCGGGCCUCGGCGCGGCGCCUACCAGGUUCACCGGGUGCACGUAGCCGUUCUCGUAGCGGUCCUCCUGCAGCAGCUGCCGCAGAACUUGAAGCUAAGCCUCAGAGAUGGAUGUUAAGUAAAGGACCCCAUAUCGACAGGCUGCCUACAGGCAAGCUGAGAGAAGCUUAAGGAGACAGACGGGCAGUCGACCGGGACGGUGCGGGCAGAAGCCGCAGGCCAGCCUCGCCCCGCCCACUCCUCCAGCAGAACAAAUGCGCCGGGCUUGGUGCCUGAAGUGCCGCAACAGGUGGCUGGCCAGGGCUGACUUCAUCACUCAGGCAUCAUCGUUCCACCUUCGUCUCUCAGGCCAGGCCUCCCUGUGGGGAUGUUUUGCCAAACCCCUCCCGCUCGCCCCCGUUUGCAGAGGUUUUCUCCAGAUAUAGU